UUUUCCCAUAGUGCUCUGGAAGAGAGGAGGAGAGGAACAAGGCAGGGGAGAAAGGCUCCCUGUGUUGGAGGGCUUCUUUGUGUCCAGUUAGCCCAGGACGACAUAGCCCACCUUGCACAGGGGCCUGGGUUUUGCCUGGGCCGGGUGUCCUGAGCAGCUGGAAGGGCUCCAGGGCACCCAUCUCCUUGGUGAGAGGCAGGUACCCUGCGGUGAUGGCCAGGCUGCUGAUCAGGACCUGCUGCUCCAAAACUCUUUCUCAGGUUCCCAGAUGCCCCCUUGGGUUGGUGGCUGCCCGAGCCUGGAGCCAUGGGCCCCUCACUGCCUACAUGCCCGAAGCCAUCACCUUCUCCAGACCCAAGGACCACCAAGACUUGUACAAGGUUUCAGUGGAUCAAGGGGAUGCCUUCUGGGGAGCACUAGGAAGGAGCCGACUCACCUGGAUCACUCCCUUCCACUCUGUCCAGGACUGCGAUCUGCACCAGGGCAGGGUCUCCUGGUUCCUGGGUGGGCAGCUGAACGUGGCAGUGAAUUGCCUGGACCGUCACGUCCAUGCAGCCCCAGACAAAGUGGCCUUAAUCUGGGAGAAGGAUGAACCAGGAGAGGAAGUACGGGUGACAUACAGGGAACUGCUAGAGCUGACGUGUCGCCUGGGAAACACCUUGAAACGCCAAGGGGUGAAACGGGGUGACAGGGUUACAAUCUACAUGCCCCCAUGCCCACUGGCAGUGGCUAGCAUGCUGGCCUGUGCCCGCAUCGGGGCUGUGCAUGCUGUGGUGUUCGCUGGGUUCAGUGCAGAGUCCCUUGCGGACAGGAUCCGGGAUGCCCAGUCAGAGAUAGUGAUUACAGUGAACCAGGGGCUGAGAGGUGGCAAGGUUAUUGAACUAAAGAAGACAGUGGACCAGGCUGUGAAGCAGUGCCCCGGAGUGAAACGGGUUCUAGUUUCCAUGAGGACCACCAGCAAGGUUCCCAUGACAGCCCUAGAUGUGCCACUGGAGGAGGAGAUGAUGAAAGAGGAUGCAUGCUGUGAACCUGCUGUCAUGGACAGUGAAGACAUGUUGUUUCUUCUCUACACAUCAGGCAGUACUGGCAAACCCAAGGGCUUGGUUCAUUCCCAAGCUGGUUAUUUGCUGUUUGCAGCUCUCACACACAAGUACGUGUUCGACUACCAGGACAGGGACAUCUUUGGCUGUGUGGCAGACAUUGGCUGGAUCACGGGGCAUACCUAUGUGGUCUACGGCCCUCUCUGCAAUGGUGGCACCACAGUCCUUUUUGAGAGCACUCCUGUCCAUCCUAACCCUGGCCGCUACUGGGAAACAGUAGAGAGGUUAAGAAUUAACCAGUUCUAUGGGGCGCCCACUGCCAUCCGCCUGCUCCUGCGAUACGGUGAUGAAUGGGUGAAGAAGUAUGACCGCUCUUCUCUCAAAGUGCUUGGCUCAGUGGGGGAACCCAUCAACAAGGAGGCAUGGGAAUGGUACUUCCAUGUGGUUGGCGAGACACGAUGCCCAGUAGUGGACACAUGGUGGCAAACCGAAACAGGAGGCAUCUGUAUCUCACCCCGUCCUUCUAAUCCCGGAGCAGAAAUCCUUCCAGGCAUGGCUAUGAGACCCUUUUUUGGGAUAAGCCCCACCCUCUUAGAUGACAAGGGAAAUGUCCUUCUAGAAAACAACAUCUCUGGAGCCCUUUGCAUCUCACAAGCCUGGCCAGGUAUGGCACGAACCAUUUACAAUGACCACAAGAGGUUUUUGGAAACCUAUCUGACUCCUUAUCCAGGUUUUUUCUUCACUGGGGACGGUGCGUAUCGUACCAGGAAGGGCUACUACCAGCUAACAGGACGGCUGGAUGACAUAAUUAACAUCAGUGGACACCGGCUGGGCACUGCAGAGGUGGAGGAUGUUGUGAAUCAUCAUGUGGCAGUGGCAGAGUCUGCCGUCAUCGGCUACCCACACGAGAUCAAGGGAGAAGGAGCCUACGUGUUUGUUGUGCUGAAGAAGGACAGUGGCUACACACAGGAGACUCUUGCUGCUGAGCUACACGAGCUCAUCUCCAAGAAGAUCGCUAAGUACGCAGCUCCAGAUUACGUUCAGGUCACACACCGGCUGCCCAAGACACGCUCGGGUAAGAUUAUGCGUCGGGUGCUACGGAAAAUCGUGGAGGACAAGGCCAGUGAGCUUGGGGACCUGACCACACUGGAUGACCAUGAAGCCGUGCAGCAGAUCAUAGAGGGACACAAGCACCUUGUGGAGGGGCAGAAGAGCUACUAGCUUGGCUCUGCCAGCAGCCACCUCCUCUACCUUCACUGCAAAACUAGGGAAACAUCCAGAAUUUCCACUAAGCAAGUGGGAGUAACUGCCAGCCACUGCCUCAUCCCCCCAGUGAGAAAGCCGAGACAUGACCUUCUCAAGACAAGCCACGUGCCACAGCACCAAGCUGAGCAGCAGCCAGUGCACCGUUCCAGCACACCACAUGUGGAGCUGCUAGGAUGGCCUGCAGCACCUUCCUGACUGUUAAGGGUUCCUUUUGCCCAGACAGCACUGAGCUGUGAUGCAGGCUUCAGGGGAAAGAGAGGUACUUACCUGUGGCUGCCUGCUGCUGACACUGGCUGCUCUGUUCACCCACAUCCACUCUGGCCCUCAUGGCAAGUCCUCCAACAGCCCACCCAGAAGAGACUAAGGAAUUGGCUCCAUCAGCUAAUCACAGAUGCUUCUGUGAUCUCUCAGGACUGUUUCUCCACUGGUUCUUGUCUUCUUUUGCCAUGUCAUGGCUAAAUUUCCCAUAUUGCUUCCACGACCCUACAGAUGUUUGUGAGCUUCAGAUAUGGCAGCUGCCACCACAUCCCCAGCAUAAACGCUUCUUUACAUAGCAAUGGAAGGACACCUGCCAUUGGACAGGUGCCAUUGGACCUGGACGAAGAACAUUAAUCACUAAUUCCCUAAGAAGAGUAUGUCUUAUGUACAGUUCUUGAUUUACCAUCCUCCACACAAAUAAUGAAAUGUUUUCACAACUGAAUCCUCUGUGCGCAAUGCUGCUAAAAUAAUGGCCAAGGUGAAGCAUGCUCCUAGCAAACAAGAGAUUUCAUGAGCUGUCUCUGUUCCAGCUUCUCUUUACACCAGAGGCCCUGCCUUCCCUCCUCCCCUUUUCUUUAGUAGUCAGUCACUCACCCGCAUAUUUUGGUUGGAGGUAGAAGAGCCGUGCAAAUGAGAGUCUCUGCAUCUCCCCUGGAGACAGGAUGUCAUACCUGCAGCAGGGUCAAGAUUCAAUACCUCCCACAAGAAACAGAACUUGUUUGCUGAAAAUUAUAUGGCUUCUGAUAUCAGAGACAUCAACAAGCAACUGUCUCUAUGUCCCUUGUGCCCCUCGCCAUGCUGCUUAGAAGUGUUCCCCACUCAAAGAAAUCAGCCAAAUUCAUGCAGAUAGUGAGCGCCCUUACCAGUUCCAGUCCACCUGCUCAUCCAGUCCUCCAGCCCUUGCCAGCAAAUCAGUCUGCAAAGAGCACAGCAGACUUGUGAACACAGUCACCAACCCUGUCAGCCCAAGGCUCUGAGCUGACAGUCAGACUUUCCUGCUAGUCUCGCUUUCCCCACUUGAGCUGAAGUUGCUCCUUAUCCCUCCUCCUGUCCCAUAGACAGUCGUGCCCCAGCUACAAUGUCCCCACAUAAGUCCAGCACACAGUCAUGCUGUGCUGCCACAAAAAAAUCAUCCCUUCUUCCUUCACUGGCAGCACCAGGAAAGAAGGCAGCAGCACUACCAGUGACUCACCAGCCCAGCCAGCUCCAGGAAUCGCACAAUUCUUUCAUCAUCUGCAGACCCUGGGGAGAAAGCUGCAAAGCAUAAGCAAGGGCAAUGUGUGCUGAAGCCACAGCUGCCCAGAGGAGUCGGUGGGACAUUCAGUGUAGCUGACCCGAUCCCUUAAUUAUACCAGGUCCUGAGCUUUGGCACAGAUAGCCUCAAAGACUGACCUUUCCUUAAAAAUGUUAACCAUGCCUGUGAGCAGCAUGCCAGUAGGUAGCUGGGUUCCACAGAUACACCUGACAUUUGGGUCAGUCCAUGGCCACAGAUGGACACAGCCAGAACACAAGGAUCCAGGCUUCAAUUGCCAAGGCCCUGCCUACCAGUUUUGCUCUUACAGCUGAGAUUGCACACUGCAGGUGGUGGAGUCAGGGAAACAGGGCUCAGGUAAUAGCCAGCAAAAGGACGCUAUGUGGGAUGAGAAAAACCUCAGGGUGAAUCAGCUGUGGAGCAGAACAUACAUUUGAGCUGGUACAGUCAACAUCUAUGGAACCUGAGUAGAAGGGCUGUGCAUCUGCCAUGGACCUCUACGAAGCUGCUGAACAGCCUCAACAGUAGCUGGUGGCUGUAGCUACUCUCAGCAAGAUUGUGACUCCCAAGUGUUUGAAAGCAGCAGAUAACACUGCUGGACAUCUCCAAGCUACAGCAGACCUCAUGUGGUCUGACUUGGGAAGAGGGUAAGGAAGAAAAAAGGAUCUAUGUAUUCUGACCUCAAGAGAAUGCAAAGCCCUGGGAUAUCAUUUGAAAAAGAGAAACAGUGAAAGAUGAAGGUGAAUGGAAAAUGAGACAAACAUGGCUUGCCCAAAGUCAGACUGUGCCAGACAUAUCAGAUGUAUCCCAACAGCAACAUGUAUCAUGUCUAGCACAGCAGGUAGAGCAUGGUCAGCUUGUUCUCAUUGUACUAAGAGAGUAAAUUCUUAUCAAGUGAAUAUGUUCCCUCCCAGAAGGGAGGGUACACAGAGCUGACCUUAACGUACACUAACGUAAAUCUUGUAGGGAAAAGCAGAGCAACAAAAACAAAACAGAUGAGUGUUCUUGAUGGGCCAUGGUAGGGGAGAAGCUACACUGAGUACAGGACAGUGAGCCGACACCACGGGGUUGGUUAAUUGCUCUAAUGAAUUUCCACAUACCUGAAACUGGAUAGAUCUCCUUCAGGGGAUAGAUCACCUGUUUAACAGAGCAAAAGAAACCAUGUUGAGGGAGCUGGACGCAGUCCUUCAGAUAUGCAAAGGAGGUGGAAUGAACUCAGGCACAAGGGAAAGAGCAGCCACAGGCAUCCUCCCUCUUGCAGGCCUAUCCGCACCAUAUAGGUUCACAGGGCAUGACCACAGCUGGGAGCAGAGCUGAGGCCAGAGUAGAGACAGUCCCUGGGCUCACCUGCUCACGCAGGCUUCCGUCGGUGAAGAAGGGCCGCUGUGGUAGGAAUACCACUCCCCGGGGGCCAAAGCAGGUCAGCAUCUUGAUGCUCCCUGCACAGAGACACACUCAGUCAAGCCUGCAAUACCAGCAACUCCCCACUGCCCCCUGUGUAGUCCUGUCCCAUGAAGUAGCCAACAAAUCCCCACAAAAGUGUGUUUGCAACACAGGACAAAACAAUGAGAGCCACAGAAUGUGAUAGACGGCUGGCUCCAAUCGGUGGAUCAGUGACACAUUCACCAUCACAAGGUGGCACUGGCCUCACAAGACCACCUUCCAAACUCAGAGCAGCCUUGGUUGAGAAAGAGAAGGCUGCAGCAUGUAGCAGUCCUUACCCCGUGUGCUCUCCCAGAGUCCUCCAAGGACCCUCAGGAGAGAUGUCUUCCCUGUACCAGUGUUUCCCACAAUCAUCACACUGUUUCCUUGUGAGAUCCUGAGGCUCAAGUCCUUGAUGAGCAGCUUGCCAGAGGAUGGCACCGAAAGUGUCACUUGGUCCAGAAGGAAAGCUGUGUCCCUUGGCACUGGGUCCUCCCCAAAAUGGCUGCUGGGCCACCACCAAGACAAAGAAGGAGAGAUCUGGGGGUAAGUGACCACGCUGAGAUUGUCAAAAAUCAGGCACCUUAGACCUCCUGUGUCUCUGUGACAGCAGCCUUGCCCCACACACCCCAGGAACGACAAAUCACAGUGAGCACUGCCUACUCCAACCGUGUGCAACAGAUUCUGAUACCAGGGGCCACCUCCAUCCCACAGCAGCCUCACACUCUGGCAUGUAAGCUGUAAGCCAGCCAGUUGCUGAGAGGAGACUCACCCGUCCAAAUCCCAGCUCGUUUUGGCUUCCGAGUAGUUACCAUUUUUUUUUCUGCCAAGGCUCAGCAAGGUCUCCUGCAGUUCACCAAUCCUAGACAAACAAGAGGUUGCAUGAAUGCUAUGGACAACUCCAGCAGCCUCCUCACAAUAUCCAAACAUGCCCAUGUUUGCACACAAGCAAUUUUUUCUCAUUUUUUUAGUACGGACAUGGGCAGAGUCUUGUCCUGCACCUCCCUUUCUCCCAGAGAUGUGCUGACAGAGAAGCUCACCUGUGUGUGUAGCCAGCUACAUCGGUCACAGUGCUGGAGAGAUCUAUGAGCUGGCUGAAGCAGCCAAUGAGGUAGAUGGAAACAAAAGCAUUCUGGGGAGAAAUCACACGCCAGAGUAAGGGUCAGUGCUGAGCUGGGGUGCUGUCUCUUACUUCAAGACUGCAAGGAGGCAGCCAAGGAGUCCACAUAUUUGGCCAUGUCAGCUGACUUUGCAAGAUCAAUGAGAGGUUGUGAAGUCACCCAUGGUGGUGGGAGUGAAGGAGAAGAUGACCACAGUUGAAAGGAACAGGGCUUCCCUGCUCAGUGCAGCAGUUCUUGCCAGGUGGACACAUGUCCUGCCACCCAGGGAUGGUAUUUGCAGAGUGCCUGCUGGCCAGCCCAGGGUCCAGCACACUUGCCCUACGUCACGUAGAUCCAUGCCACCAGCACCGUAUAUGGCUCAGAAGAGGGUGUUUCAGCCGGCAGUGUUCACUUAGCUAUUUUUAGCUCUGCAUUCUCUAUCAGAAGCCAGUUUUGAGUAUCUGGUAAAGAGUCAGGUCAGGAAGGCAAAUGCAAGCCAGCUCAGCCUCACUGGUGGCUGUGGUCACCACGGGCAGACGUGCAGCACUGAGCACAAUGCCCCCACACUGCUGAAAGCCAGAGACUUUCUGAUCUCGCUAUUUUUUAGACACUCAGGUCUGAGCUAAUAAACACUUAUGUAGAUGUGACCUUGACAGGUUAAUCAUAUACCAGCUGGCUACAAGCUCCUAUUUCCAUGACACCAUGGCUAGGGACAGUCUAACCUGAAGGUCAAGUGCUGCAUGACUAUCCAGCCCCAGGGCCACCAGCCCCAUAUGAAACCUCCAUCCUCAGUGCCUGCUCACCAUCCACAAUGGGAUAUAACCCUUAACUCACCUUGCUGACGAGGGCACUGAGCUCUGUUGGACUCAGGUCACUGUAGACCCCAGAAAAAAUGGGAAUGGCAAUGACCACGUAGCUCAGGAUGCUACCCAGAUAGUCAAAGGUGUUGAUCCCAACUGGGCAGAAACACAUUGAGAGAAGAUAAGAGUUAGAGUGGGAACCUCUGCCCCAGUCAGGCUCAAAUGUGGCCCAUGAGCCCAGCCAGAGGAAUACGCAUGUUUUCGUCUCAGCCCUUUAUGAUGCACCAGAGCAGAACUCAUUUCACAGGACUGCACAAGCACUAGGGUGAAAAUUCAUUUGCCAAGCAAAGAGCACUUUGGGGCAGACUCCUGAACAGAGAAACCUCCAGACAUACAGCUCAGGAACCACCAUGGGGCAAAAGUCACUUUGCCUGCUUGUUUCUAUGUUUCAGGGGUCUGGCUGACUCACAGUAAACAGGAGGGAUUGCAAAAAGGAAGCUCUGGGUUGAGAUGGUUUUCCAUGAAGUGUAUCUUGGAGCACACAACAGGCAGAAAGACUUAAGACCCCAAAUUCCCACAGACACCUCUGUUCAGGGCUCUCCCUCCCACACAUUGCUCAGAAGCUCACUGUGCUUCUGAGAUGAGGAAGAGCUGUCUUUAUAGUGGUCAUUUAAAGCCAAAACCUGGACUCAUUGACAGUGGGAGAAGGGAGAUUUUCAGAGGACAACUAUGCUUAAGGGAUAUGCUCUAUAGGAAAGAAGUUUCCACAGCUUCCAACCACAUACACCAUCUUCUCCUUCCCCAAAGCUUAAGCCUUUCCCUCUUUUCCUGGCCUUUGAACACCUGCCCCCCAGAAAGCCAGAUUCCUAGGUUCUCCACAGCUCUGCCUCUUUAUGAGGCUUUUACACAAUAGGAUUCCCAUUUAGGACUCCAGGAGACACCCUCUGUUCACCCUCAGGGCUUUCAUGAACCAGCAAGAGGCGGGAGAGGAAAACGCAGCACCCACCCAAGUGCUCUACCAGUAGAGUUCCCGUGCCUGUGGACCACCACAAUGGAGCUACCACACACCCCACUUCACCCCUCAAACUCCCCACUCACUGUAUAGCCACAGCUCCUUGCCUAUCAGCUCUCUCUGGGUCUGCAGCAGGCUCUGCAGCCUCCGGUCCGUGCGCAUGUGCUCCACUCGCCCAGCCCUGUAAAAUAAGAUUGCAACAGACAUCCCAGGACCCAUGGGCUUUAAAAUGGAGGCUUGGAACAAGUCUGGCACCUUAACUUCCAAGUAACAAGCUCUUCAUUGAGCAGGAACUGAACAGCCAAGAGCACCUUCCUGAAGAGCAUCAUCAAGAAACUGGCUGAAACAAGCAGUCUUGCAAAUCUCUCCCAGAGCCUGUGGAUGCUGCUAUUGCAAACAGGGUCACUGUCUGCAAGGCCCCAGCCCGGAGCAAUGCACACCCCAGGUCAAACACAUUUCCCAAGCAGAGCCUGGGUGGAAGACUGGGAUGGAACCGCUACACAGCUAGAGCCAGAAAGGAGAGGGCAGAGGGGAGUCCAGGAGGUGAUAAUAAGCCCACACAGCCUACGUGGCCAGCAGCCCCAGGUCACCUCUUCCUAUUUCCCACUUCAAAGGAGUGGGUCAAAGACAAGUUCUGAGCAGUGCAGCCCCCAGUGGGGGCGACCCCAGCCCCACAACUCCCCCUUUCCAGGGCUAUCUCCAUCGGGUCACCCACCAGCCAAUUUUGCGGUGAUGCUCCCAUGGUCAGGCUGAGCCAGUAGCAAGGAGACAUCUCAGCUCUAAACCACCACCUUCAGCAAGUGCAGUAGCUCCUUCUGCUGUUUUGCAAGGCCUGGGCUGCCCUCAGGUGGCAAAAUGCAGAGAGCUCCACAUCUCACUCCAGAGAUAUAGCCACAGCAGCUAUUGCCCCUGACAUCUAACACAGGCUUGUGCUCAGUACAUACCCACACUCCCAUCACAGUCCAUGCAAGAGAAGGGCCUGACUAGAUAAGGCCAGAAGCUGCACAAAAACAUCUAAAUUAAGAUUUUUUAAGUCUCAUUUCUGAAGAUUCUCAGCUCUUAGAAAAAUACAUUUUCUUUCUCAAAAAUGCAUCUGGCUACAAUUCAGUUUGGCUUUAUUGUCCUACAACCCAGCAGGUAACUACUGACAGCAAUCUUUGCUGUCCGUGCAUUCAGAGAGGACAAAACCUUGGACACAAGGAGUUAAAGGCAAGCAAGGCACCAAGGACCAGAGCUAUUAUUUCUGUUGCAGAGGAAGAGAGAUUCCUGUAUUGGUUUCCUCUUUUCCUUCCACUCACUUCACUUUUAAAGCAAGUUUGCCAAAGGCUUAGAAACAAAAAAAGUAAAAAAGUGACAGUGCUCAGCUUUUGUUUCUUCCUUUACCAAAACAGUGGUCAGGCAGGUGCAAGAGGACAAGGUUUAACAGCUAGAGAAGUUGAGCAGUCAAAACCAGCCACUUGCUUCAUGCUCAUCCUCUUGCAGGACUCUAAGAAUGCAACCUUUUAAAAAAUUUCUUUAUUUUUAAUUAAGAUGAAUACCAUGAAAAUGCCUGUUUUUGUGCAUUUCAAUUUAAUUCUAGUUUCUCACAAAGUCAACCUUUCCUACUAACGGAUUGUACUGAAGUAGGACACUCUGUUUUCUGGUAUAAUUCACUUUCCAUUUUCUACUUAGUAACAGAAUAAAACAAUUCAAAAUUGUGAGGAAAUGUACUGCAGCUUAAAUAAGGGUAUGCAAUUAGAGCAUCUUCUCCAUUACAAAAAAUUCUAAUCAACCAGUAGGAAUCAACCAGUCCACAAAGAGAUAACUCAGACUUGCCAAUGCAAACCAAGAUUGAUUUCAGUUAUUUAAAUCAGUUUCAUACCUGUCAAUAUAAAUCUUUAUGAAAGCAGUGAUUUUGAAUCAAACCACUUUGGAGACAGCACUACAACACUUGAAAUGCCCAGUCAUUACAGCAGGAAGGAGACGAAUAUAGAUCACAGGCAGGGAAGACCAGAGAGAUGACAGCUGCUACUUGCUUAAAUUCCUGGAAGAAGUGCAAUUUCACAACACACAGGGCAAGGGCAGACUUGUGACAAGAGAGAAGCAACAACCUCCUGCCAUUCCAAAACAAGCUACAGGAAAAUCACGGCUCUUUUCCUGGGUUCCCGACAUUUCUGUGAACAAAGCAGCAGCUCAGCAGACUUCAGGGCAUCACUAACCAAGGAGGUGCUGCUGGGCUUCCAGUUGUGUGCUCAGCUCUGGGGCAAAUGGCACUGAGCAAAUUCAGAGCAGCAGUACAGCAUAGGGAGGGUCAGAGCACAGACUGACCAAGAGGAGCAAAGAGGUAAGCUGGCCAGGCAGCAGCUAGCACACCCACAGAAGAAAUGCAGGUUAGCAACAGCAGGAUGUUAGCAACAUGUAACAAGUUCCCAGAGGAACAACAUGCGAUAAGACUUCAAUCAAUCAUCCAGGUAAGGACCUGGCAAAACAUCAGCAAUUGUCUCUAAGUCAGCACCAAAUCUGUAUCUGGCCUCUAGGGAUGUCAGAAUGGAGGCAGAAGAAAAAUAAUUGUCUCCAGUUUUUGUGGAUUUCUGCAAAUGAUGCACAGAAUGCAAAGAACACCAUGUCAGGGCUGUAUGACGCUACAGUGGAAAGGAGGGGACAGAAAGCUCUGGCUGCAGCAACAGGACUUGGGAUCCUGUGGGACACAUAAAUACAACAAAGAUGCCCUGAACUGGGAUGAUCCUUAUGAGGAUAUAAAGAAAUGAACACUACUAACCUGUAGAAAGCAGCUGGUUCUGCAUUGACACGAAUCUGCAUGUGCUUGAACCUGGAUAACCAAGAAAAACAUAAUAAUGGUACACAAAUGCUCAGUGAAUUAUGUAGCCAAAACCCCUGCUAGAGGAAACUCAUCUUACAUCUGUCAGAGCACUGAUCUGAGGCAGUUCCUGACAGAAGCACUCAAUAGGCUCAAAAAGGCACCAGAGACCAAGGCUUAGCACAUGGUGACAUCAUUCUGGACCAGCUCAAUGGUGCAUUUGUUUGGUAUCCUGCUCUCUGCUCACAACUUCUUAGCCCUUGGUCCCCCUGUUUGCUGCUAGUCCAGCAUCUCGACCACACAGAAUCACCACAACUAACUGCCCUGGUCUAGGCUCCCUGUGCCACACCAGCUUCUGCUGCUGUCCUUGAAUACCCUGAGCCCCGGGGAAAGCUGCAACGCCCCUGCCACACACCCAGCCAACCCUGCAAAGACAAGGGGAGUAGAUGAGUUAGAAAGCAUAUGGAAAGACUGUGAUGUUUUGGGAACUUAAUGAAAGUGAUGGUGAAGCAAAAACCUGAUUUCUGUCAGUAGAUGCAGUUAGCUGAACUUGCAUCUGCACCCAGUGAAGCUCCACAUGCAGUUUUCUUCAACACACCCAUAGCAGAGACAUCAGCAAUGACCAGGCAAACAGCCUGAAGACUGAGCUGGGAGACUGAACCAAGGGCACUGCCUGCCAUGACAAAGGGCACUGUCCAUCAGUACACGGACUUUGGAGCAUGAUUGCACAGGUAGGUUUCUCUGAGUGGGGGGAAAAGUCACAGACAAGAGAAGCAGCUGCAUACAUAGCACUGAAUGGGGACAAAAAUGUAGCUUUCACAGGAGUUGCCAAGAAACAGUGAAAACACUGCUCAGCUGCGACUCACCUGAAAUCGCCCUCCAGUUUUUCCUGCUGCACAAGUUUAGACACAAUUGGGCUCAUCAAUAGUUUGUUUGCAAUUGUCCCAAUGACAAAAUAUCCAAAGAUGUUCACUGGGCCUAGCCAGCCUGUGCUACAGAGAAGGAGAAAGAGAGGUCAGCUAACAAUCCAAGCAAAAGGACAUUCCUGCAUCAUUGGUCUCAAGAAAUCAGAGACCUCAGCUGUGACCUCUCUUGGCUUUCACAGAGGUUUGGGAGCCAACACUGCACACCCCAGUAUCCCCAAGGCAGAAUUCCCAUUGGAGUACAGAGACCACUCACCUGUGCGUACAAACAUCCACCUGGGGAGUUGUAACAUGGGUGCCAGGCUUCAAAAAAGAGCAUAGGAUAGAGACAUGAAAGCAUGGCCAGGAUGCACCCUUACCUGUGAAAGCACUGGUGUGUGUAGUAGGCCAGCGUGAAAGGUGAGAUGACGAGCUUGCUGGCCAUGGAGCUGAGCUGCCUGCAGAACCUCUCCACAUCCUGGCUGAUGCGCUGGUCCCUGCUCAACACAAAGAGCCAUGGACACUGUUAAAGCCUAGAUGCAAGAACCAGUACUAAACCCCUAAAAGGGAACAAGCCAGACUGUUUCACUGCGGGAACUUAGGACAGGGUGAAGUGAACAACCCUGCCUGGGAGGGACCUGCAGCUGUGACUUCUGCUCCCCCAUAGGAGACAAUUUCCAUGGCCCAGCAGGACCAAACUAAGAGAGCCUCCUGUCACCCAGGAAGAACAGCUCUUGCUGUUACUCUCACCCUGUUCCUCGUAUUAAUCCUUUGUUUCACUUUCAACAACAUUGCUCAACUCUGUGCUAAAGGUCUCUGCAUUCUUGUCCUUUACUCCUCUCCUGGAACAACCCCCAAACUACAAAACACUGCUGACUGUCCCCCAGACCUUCAGUACUGGUCCUGCAUCUCAGGUAUCAGAGCCAUCAGGACUGGCUACGGCACAGGCCAGGCCUUUGUCAGCUGUUGCAUAUUUGCAAACACUUCCAUCAAAGCCACACUUCCACAGUAGCUGGUCCCUUUGCUGCAAGGAAGAAAGUGCUUCCACUUGCCCUAGCUCCCAAGAGCAGGCAGCAGUACACCAACCCUUCUCACCUCAUUGGCAGCAGGCACACGGGUGACAGACCUUCGAGUCCCACCUAUUGCACUGCUGAGCAGGAGUUGCACUUGGGGUAACUAGAAGAAUUUCAACAUAUUAACUCCCUCAGCACCUCAUCUGCCCAGAGUACACGGACAAGGACGUCAGCCUGCUGUGCUAUGCCCAAGUGGAAAGGACAUGACUGUGAAUGUUGGAGACCAGAAUAAAGAGCAAGGCUGGACCUCUAGUUAUUCUCAGUGCAGAUACAACUACAAUGACUUUCAUCUCAAAUCUUUUGCAGCCCUGGAACAGCAGUGGAUGUAGGUUUGGGGCAGCUCUCACCCUGACCGACCUUACAGUCACAAUUUUUUCUUUCUCCUCAGACUGCAAUUGUUCCCAUAAAGUUGUAAUUUAAGCUGUGCUACAGACUCAUGGGAGGCUAUUGCUUUUUACGAGCUAUUAAGCAACAUGUAAUGAAAACACAUAAACAUCAAUUCAAAUGCCCUGUUAGGUGCCGCAAGUGUUUGUAUGUCACUUAGAACGCACUCUUCAUUCCUUUGAGAUGGAUGACUCCAUGCAUCUAACACUCAGCUUGGUUUGCACUGCAUAAUGGGAGGUCUCUUCAUCCCUCUAUUUCAUUCUCUCUAAGGUGCAGAGAAAAAAUUCUCAUCAAGAAAUUGCAAGCUGAAGAGAAUUUUUCCAGUGACACCAAAAAGACACUAAACAAUAAGACUGGAUGUUGGAGCAGAAGCAAGGUGUUAAUGAGAAAUACUCCGCAGUAAUCUCACACAUUUGGUCUGCUAAGGUCAA
Chiroxiphia lanceolata (lance-tailed manakin) is the source of this 13737-nucleotide RNA transcript. It is a transcript of the gene named acetyl-coenzyme A synthetase 2-like, mitochondrial, with no coding region annotated. The record is from RefSeq and is a predicted model, not a curated record. Lineage: Eukaryota; Metazoa; Chordata; Aves; Passeriformes; Pipridae. The transcript has 16 exons.